This 411-nucleotide ribosomal RNA is filed under the name Triticum aestivum (bread wheat). RNAcentral's name for it is "partial small subunit ribosomal RNA". The record is from RNAcentral. Lineage: Eukaryota; Viridiplantae; Streptophyta; Magnoliopsida; Poales; Poaceae.
GGUGCAGUUGCAGCUCCAUGCCGGGAUGAGCAUGGCACCUACUAGGGUUCUUCUGUAGUGGUCUUUCAAGGAACUCGUGAUCCAAUGAUGCUCGAAACAUUUGCAUGCAGGGAAGCUCUUGCCCUAGCAUAUGAUCUUGAUAUUCAGAAUAUGGAAGUAGCAUCAGACUGCCUAGAAGUGGUAAAAGACAUUAAGGAGGGGAGAGGAGGUCCUAAUGCGGCUAUCAUCCAAGAGAUCGCGGCACGUAGAUCUUCUUAUUCAUGCUUUUUUAUUCAUGAGCGUAGGAAUUUUAAUUUCGAGGCUCAUAAUCUCGCCAAGUUUGCUUGUAAUUUAGGCUUGGGUAGACAUAUAUGGUUGGGAAACCCUCACAACGUGAACCGUCUACCCAUGAACAUUGUUAUCAAUCAAUAA